GAUGAACGCUGGCGGCGUGCCUAAUACAUGCAAGUCGAGCGAACAGACGGGGAGCUUGCUCCUUUGACGUUAGCGGCGGACGGGUGAGUAACACGUAGGUAACCUACCUAUAAGACUGGGAUAACUUCGGGAAACCGGAGCUAAUACCGGAUAAUAUUUCGAACCGCAUGGUUCGAUAGUGAAAGAUGGCUUUGCUAUCACUUAUAGAUGGACCUGCGCCGUAUUAGCUAGUUGGUAAGGUAACGGCUUACCAAGGCAACGAUACGUAGCCGACCUGAGAGGGUGAUCGGCCACACUGGAACUGAGACACGGUCCAGACUCCUACGGGAGGCAGCAGUAGGGAAUCUUCCGCAAUGGGCGAAAGCCUGACGGAGCAACGCCGCGUGAGUGAUGAAGGUCUUCGGAUCGUAAAACUCUGUUAUGAGGGAAGAACAAACGUGUAAGUAACUGUGCACGUCUUGACGGUACCUAAUCAGAAAGCAACGGCUAACUACGU
Molecule: ribosomal RNA, 496 nt
Filed under: uncultured bacterium
Lineage: Bacteria
Description: partial 16S ribosomal RNA
Rfam family: Bacterial small subunit ribosomal RNA
Source: RNAcentral